Molecule: ribosomal RNA, 483 nt
Filed under: uncultured bacterium
Lineage: Bacteria
Description: partial 16S ribosomal RNA
Rfam family: Bacterial small subunit ribosomal RNA
Source: RNAcentral
GACGAACGCUGGCGGCGUGCUUAACACAUGCAAGUCGAACGAUGAAGCUGGAGCUUGCUCCAGUGGAUUAGUGGCGAACGGGUGAGUAACACGUGAGCAAUCUGCCCUUGACUCUGGGAUAACUGCGGGAAACUGUAGCUAAUACCGGAUACGACACCUUGGGGCAUCCCGGGGUGUGGAAAGAAUUUCGGUCAAGGAUUAGCUCGCGGCCUAUCAGCUUGUUGGUGAGGUAAAGGCUAACCAAGGCGACGACGGGUAGCCGGCCUGAGAGGGUGACCGGCCACACUGGAACUGGGACACGGUCCAGACGCCGACGGGAGGCAGGAGUGGAGAAUAUUGCACAAUGGGCGAAAGCCUGAUGCAGCAACGCCGCGUGAGGGAUGACGGCCUUCGGGUCGUAAACCUCUUUUAGCAGGGAAGAAGGGAAAGUGACGGUACCUGCAGAAAAAGCACCGGCUAACUACGUGCCAGCGGCCGCGGUAA